AUCAGCCAAAAGCUUCUCUGAUGGUGGUUCCUUCCUUUUCUUAGAUACCUCUUGAUUAAGUGCAGGUUGCUUGCCCUUGUCCUUGGCAAGGAUCUUAUGCGUAGGAAUUGAAAUCCUUUUAGACACAGUAGGUGGAGGUGAAGGCGUUCCACUUGCUGAAGAUGAUGAAGGUGAAGGGGUAUGGGCUUGGGUCUGUUUCACACGAGCCAUGUUUGUA
This 217-nucleotide long non-coding RNA is filed under the name Cicer arietinum (chickpea). RNAcentral describes it as "long non-coding RNA (CARI_LNC002804)". The record is from RNAcentral. Lineage: Eukaryota; Viridiplantae; Streptophyta; Magnoliopsida; Fabales; Fabaceae.